AGUGACUCUGUUCAACGGCCGCGGUAUCCUAACCGUGCGAAGGUAGCGUAAUCACUUGUUCUUUAAAUGAGGACUAGUAUGAACGGCACCACGAGGGUUAUACUGUCUCCUUUUUUUAAUCAGUGAAACUAAUCUCCCCGUGAAGAAGCGAGGAUAAAAUUAUAAGACGAGAAGACCCUAUGGAGCUUUAAACAACACAGCAUUUGUUAAAAAAUUAAAAUAUUUCAGAAUAAUUUAACUUCUAUAAACAAUAUAACUGUAAGUUUUCGGUUGGGGUGACCACGGAGCAUAACAUAACCUCCAUGUUGAAAAAAAUAUUUUUAAACCAAGAACCACCAAUCUAAGCAUCAACAUAUUGACAUCCAUUGACCCAAUAUACUUGACCAACGAACCAAGUUACCCUAGGGAUAACAGCGCAAUCUACUUCAAGAGCUCCUAUCGACAAGUAGGUUUACGACCUCGAUGUUGGAUCAGGGUAUCCCAGUGGUGCAGCCGCUACUAAAGGUUUGUUUGUUCAACAAUUAAAACCCUACGUGAUCU
This 540-nucleotide ribosomal RNA is filed under the name Rhinella sp. k MV-2023. RNAcentral describes it as "partial large subunit ribosomal RNA". It matches the Rfam family "Bacterial large subunit ribosomal RNA", at positions 1913 to 2606 of the family's 2925-position model. The record is from RNAcentral. Lineage: Eukaryota; Metazoa; Chordata; Amphibia; Anura; Bufonidae.